GACGAACGCUGGCGGCGUGCUUAACACAUGCAAGUCGAACGGAAAGGCUCCAGCUUUCUGGGGUGCUCGAGUGGCGAACGGGUGAGUAACACGUGGGUAAUCUGCCCUUCACUCUGGGAUAAGCCUAGGAAACUGGGUCUAAUACUGGAUAUGACCUUUCUCCUCAUGGGGGUGGGUGGAAAGUUUUGCGGUGUAGGAUGGGCCCGCGGCCUAUCAGCUUGUUGGUGGGGUUAUGGCCUACCAAGGCGACGACGGGUAGCCGGCCUGAGAGGGUGAUCGGCCACAUUGGGACUGAGAUACGGCCCAGACUCCUACGGGAGGCAGCAGUGGGGAAUAUUGCACAAUGGGCGGAAGCCUGAUGCAGCGACGCCGCGUGAGGGAUGACGGCCUUCGGGUUGUAAACCUCUUUCAGCUGGGACGAAGCGUAAGUGACGGUAACUGCAGAAGAAGCACCGGCUAACUACGUG
This 467-nucleotide ribosomal RNA is filed under the name uncultured bacterium. Its description in RNAcentral is "partial 16S ribosomal RNA". It matches the Rfam family "Bacterial small subunit ribosomal RNA", at positions 28 to 507 of the family's 1533-position model. The record is from RNAcentral.